RNAcentral lists this ribosomal RNA (220 nucleotides) under uncultured bacterium. RNAcentral describes it as "partial 16S ribosomal RNA". It matches the Rfam family "Bacterial small subunit ribosomal RNA", at positions 116 to 334 of the family's 1533-position model. The record is from RNAcentral.
CGUGGGUAAUCUGCCCUUCGAUGGGGAAUAACCUCGCGAAAGCGAGGCUAAUUCCGCAUAACAUUCCGAUGAUCUUGGUUGUUGGAUUCAAAGCCGUAAGGCGUCGGAGGAGGAGCCCGCGCACGAUUAGCUAGUUGGUGAGGUAACGGCUCACCAAGGCUAUGAUCGUUAGCUGGUCUGAGAGGAUGGCCAGCCACACUGGAACUGAGACACGGUCCAG